AGAGCGAACGCUGGCGGCAGGCCUAACACAUGCAAGUCGAGCGGGCGUAGCAAUACGUCAGCGGCAGACGGGAGAGUAACACGUGGGAACGCGCCCUUCGGUUCGGAAUAACUCAGGGAAACUUGAGCUAAUACCGGAUACGCCCUUACGGGGAAAGAUUUAUCGCCGAAGGAACGGCCCGCGUCGGAUUAGCUAGUUGGUGAGGUAAUGGCUCACCAAGGCGACGAUCCGUAGCUGGUCUAAGAGGAUGAUCAGCCUCACUGGGACUGAGACACGGCCCAGACUCCUACGGGAGGCAGCAGUGGGGAAUAUUGGACAAUGGGCGCAAGCCUGAUCCAGCCAUGCCGCGUGGAUGAUGAAGGCCUUAGGGUUGUAAAGUCCUUUCAGCGGGGAAGAUAAUGACGGUACCGCAGAAGAAGCCCCGGCUAACUUCGUGCCAGCAGCCGC
RNAcentral lists this ribosomal RNA (447 nucleotides) under uncultured bacterium. Its description in RNAcentral is "SSU rRNA". It matches the Rfam family "Bacterial small subunit ribosomal RNA", at positions 26 to 518 of the family's 1533-position model. The record is from RNAcentral.